AGGUUCCUGAGCCCGAGCGGGCCCGCCAGCAGUCGGCCCCGGCGGCGCAGAGGCUCCUGUCGGCGGCGCCCUGGAGCGGCCCGGCCUCCCGAUGCUCCUGCGCCGGCUGCCGCGGGCCGGGCUGUGCGCGUAGAGCCGGCUCUGGCCCCGUGAGGCGUCCGCGGGGGCGGGAGCGGCCUCGGCCCCGCGGAGACCGAGCGGCUGGAGGACGAGGCGGCGGCCGCGGGGAGGAGGAUGGGGGCUAACCAGUUAGUGGUGCUCAACGUGUACGACAUGUACUGGAUGAACGAGUACACCUCAUCCAUCGGAAUUGGAGUGUUUCAUUCAGGAAUUGAAGUAUAUGGCAGAGAAUUUGCUUAUGGUGGCCAUCCUUACCCUUUUUCUGGAAUAUUUGAGAUUUCCCCAGGAAAUGCUUCAGAACUAGGAGAAACAUUUAAAUUUAAAGAAGCUGUUGUUUUAGGAAGCACCGACUUCCUAGAAGAUGAUGUAGAAAAAAUCAUAGAAGAACUGGGGAAAGAAUACAAAGGCAAUGCCUAUCAUUUAAUGCACAAAAACUGCAAUCACUUUUCUUCAGCAUUAUCAGAGAUUCUUUGUGGGAAAGAGAUUCCUCGCUGGAUCAAUCGACUUGCCUACUUCAGCUCCUGCAUCCCCUUCCUGCAGAGCUGCCUGCCGAAGGAGUGGCUCACCCCUGCAGCCCUGCAGUCCAGCGUGAGCCAGGAGCUCCAGGAGGAGCUGGAGGAGGCGGAGGACGCGGUCGCGUCGGCUGCCAUGGCCAGCACCGCCGCAGGCUCCCGGCCUGGGCGCCACACUAAACUAUAAAUGUCUCCAAAGUCACACAUUCAGAACUGUCUGUGGCAGUUGAAUAUCACUAGCGAAAAGUAAAAGAGAAGCCUUUGCGAGUGCCCUCAGUGCUGCGGGGCAGAGCACUGGUUCUGAGAUGCGGCGGGAGGAAGAAAGGUCUGAUGUGAGACGAGAAGAAAACACUAAGAGUUGAGCCGUGGAUUUGUUCACUCAGACGGGUCCUACCACCAGAACCCAGGUUAGGGAGGAGUAUGUGAUGCAGUUUGCUUCGGACUGUUUUUAAUAUGUGCUAGAUUACAGUUUUUCUCAUUCACUGAGAUAUCCGUGGUUUGAAUCCGCUGUGACACCCGUGGAGGAGUGGCCACGCACUAGAGCCCGCUUGGUGAAAAGCGGGGUCAUCCCGUCCCUGCUCGUCCAGAACCCAGCACCUUGCGCACACGUGACUUCAGCGUUAUUCUGUUGUAUUUACUCUCAUCUGCAGCACUCUGAGUUUUUAAAUAGUGUAAAGGGACCUAGUUUCAGAACUACAUCAUGGCCCAAGGCCAGUUAUAGUAACAAUCAGCAGAUAAAAUUCUGGACGUGAGAUUGAUUACAAUCUAAUCGUACUCAAGGUUGAGAAAUAAAUAUCUUUAUUUUGGGAAAUCUUGUGCAAGUCAGUUUCUUCUCCACAGCUCAGAAUUUAGAAUGGAUUUAAUUAAUUAGCACUUGACCAGCCUUUCCUUGCCCUUGGAGGAAAAGAAUCUUGCUGUCAACCUGAUCUCUGUUAGGAAAACUCCAGACAUUGAGAUACAUGCAAUACGAUGGAGUCAGAUUAUUUUCUUUGUAGUUGUAACCAAGUGAAGCAUAUUUGUCGUGGUGGGUUGGACAGUAAUUUAGUGUUAGAGGGUUAGAAGCUGCUGGGUUCUACUGUUUUAAAUGCUCCUGGUGUUUUCAACCCUACGAAGGGGACGCGAGCAUUGGGGAGGGGCCUGUGGAGCCUGGAGGGCGCGGCGGUUGUAGCCUCCAGGUGCCUGAACCCGCCGACCCGCGCUGGCCCAGCAGCGCGUCACCUUCACCAGCACUUGUACAGAGCAGGCGGCUGGGUCCAGCCAGUGGCCGCGUCGCGCCGGCGGCUCCGCGCGGAGACCCAGGGCUGCUUUCCACCGCGAAACGGGUAGAAGCACAUCCACUGCUUCAGGGUUCUGACCGUGUCUUACGGCUCCGUCUCUGUAAGACACUGUGAUCUGAUACAUGCUCUGUUUUCUUUCAGUGGUUAAGUUCAAAAGACUUGGGUUUUGUUCAGCACGCUGGCAUGCUGCCAUUGUACCCUCCGGUGUGGUGUUAGAGGGCGGCUCCGUCCUGGACUGCGCGUCCCUGUCUGUCCUCAUACCACAUCUGCGCUGUUCGAAAGGUGUUACAGCUGUUACUCCUCAUGAACCGAAGAUAAUCUCGUGAAGUUGAAUGCAAACGUACUGUCAUUCAUAGUGUUUAUAUAAAAAUACCAGGAAUCUUCACUUUUGCUACCUUGAUAUAGCAUUGGGCUAUCAUGUUAACAACA
RNA transcript from Molossus molossus (Pallas's mastiff bat), 2338 nucleotides. It is a transcript of the gene named desumoylating isopeptidase 2, with no coding region annotated. The record is from RefSeq and is a predicted model, not a curated record. Lineage: Eukaryota; Metazoa; Chordata; Mammalia; Chiroptera; Molossidae. The transcript is spliced from 6 exons.